AUUUAAAUGAGCUUGUUUUGUUACAGGACAUGGUGUCAGAGUUAAGUUUUUCUGCAGGACCUUUGCACUAAUUCUUUUUGGAACGACCUGUCCUCCGUCAGAAAUGUAGUUUUUGAAUGAUUUUAUUAUUAACCUUUUUCCACUGCAGCCAUUGGGCCACCUGCACCAAAUAACUCACCCAUAGAUAACUUACUACACCCACAGUUUCACAUCCCACUGGUUUAGACUCAGACUACCUGACUAACUAGAUGCCAUGUCCUCGGCUGAAGUACAAAACCGCUUAUCAGGAAAAAUACUGAGGAAAUAUUGUUCAAAUAGUUUAAAAAAAUGUACUUUUGAGAAAAUGUCUUACCUGAUUGGAUUGGUUUUGGCAGGUGUGUAUUUUCUGUCAUAGCAUAGGACAAUAUUUUGUAUUAUCAACAUCUGAAGUUCUAAUCAGAACAGUAUGCAAAUUUGGCCCUGCAUGUCCUGGAUGUCCUUGAACAGAAGUGUUAGGUGAGACACAUUCAGUCACAAGGUGUAACUUCACCAUAACGUGUUACUAAAAACCAACAUUUUUUUCUGUUUAUGUACAAUUUGGUGUGUGAUUCAGAACUUGCUGAUGUUGCGGUGCACUUGGAAUCAUAUUUUGAGCACAAUGUGCCCCACAAGGUUAUUUGACAUAUCCUAGAAUCGUUAUCCAUCAUAGAUCUAAACUCACAGGAUUCAUAGCUGUGACUGUGGUGGUCAUUUUUCAUGUACUUUACAGGAAGAUUUCGUACGUUUUUACGUCACUGCCUGUCGUGUAAAAACAUUAAGACCAAACGCAGCCUCUGCCCAGACCGUUGUCACCAUGUUUGAUUCAUUUCCUCUCUUACUACUUUGUUUUUGUUUAUAUGACCUAAAAAUGAUUUAUUUAUUAAAGAAAAACUAAUUUCAGAGGUUUUAUGGUUUAACUAGUUGUCAGUACUGAGACUGCCCUGCCUCCCUUUAUAACAAGCAGAUUGAAUUUAUUAUUUUAAGUCUGAAUGAAUGAAUGAAUGAAUGCUCUGUGAUCUACAUUGGACUGGAGUCACGUCUUUGUCUGUACUUACGGUACGUGUCGUGAGGACCAAUAAAACUCUGGGGGAUGAAGGUUGGAA
This is a long non-coding RNA of Cynoglossus semilaevis (tongue sole), 1121 nucleotides long. RefSeq lists it as uncharacterized. The transcript is spliced from 2 exons. The record is from RefSeq and is a predicted model, not a curated record. Lineage: Eukaryota; Metazoa; Chordata; Actinopteri; Pleuronectiformes; Cynoglossidae.